RNAcentral lists this ribosomal RNA (253 nucleotides) under uncultured bacterium. Its description in RNAcentral is "partial 16S ribosomal RNA". It matches the Rfam family "Bacterial small subunit ribosomal RNA", at positions 524 to 776 of the family's 1533-position model. The record is from RNAcentral.
GACAGAGGAGGCGAGCGUUAUCCGGCAUUAUUGGGCGUAAAGGGCACGCGGGCGGAUGGUUAAGUCUGGGGUUCAAGACCACAGCUCAACCGUGGGGGGGCCUUGGAGACUGACGGACUGGAGUGCGGCAGGGGUUGGGGGAAUUCCCGGUGUAGCGGUGAAAUGCGUAGAUAUUGGGAAGAACACCAGAGGCGAAGGCGAGCAGCUGGUCCCUAACUGACGCUGAGGUGCGAAAGCGAGGGGAGCUAAGGGG